UCUUAUUUAGUAUAAAAAGUACAUCUAACUUCCAAUUAGAAAGUCCUCUAAGGAUUAAGAA
Molecule: transfer RNA, 61 nt
Filed under: Argulus japonicus
Lineage: Eukaryota; Metazoa; Arthropoda; Ichthyostraca; Arguloida; Argulidae
Description: tRNA-Gly
Source: RNAcentral